GACGAACGCUGGCGGCGUGCUUAACACAUGCAAGUCGAACGGAAAGGCCCUGCUUUUGUGGGGUGCUCGAGUGGCGAACGGGUGAGUAACACGUGAGUAACCUGCCCUUGACUUUGGGAUAACUUCAGGAAACUGGGGCUAAUACCGGAUAGGAGCUCCUGCUGCCUGGUGGGGGUUGGAAAGUUUCGGCGGUUGGGGGUGGACUCGCGGCUUAUCAGCUUGUUGGUGGGGUAGUGGCUUACCAAGGCUUUGACGGGUAGCCGGCCUGAGAGGGUGACCGGCCACAUUGGGACUGAGAUACGGCCCAGACUCCUACGGGAGGCAGCAGUGGGGAAUAUUGCACAAUGGGCGGAAGCCUGAUGCAGCAACGCCGCGUGCGGGAUGACGGCCUUCGGGUUGUAAACCGCUUUCGCCUGUGACGAAGCGUGAGUGACGGUAAUGGGUAAAGAAGCACCGGCUAACUACGUG
This 468-nucleotide ribosomal RNA is filed under the name uncultured bacterium. RNAcentral's name for it is "partial 16S ribosomal RNA". It matches the Rfam family "Bacterial small subunit ribosomal RNA", at positions 28 to 507 of the family's 1533-position model. The record is from RNAcentral.